Molecule: non-coding RNA, 71 nt
Organism: Stegodyphus mimosarum
Lineage: Eukaryota; Metazoa; Arthropoda; Arachnida; Araneae; Eresidae
Source: Rfam
GCCUUUGUGGUGUAACAGUAGCACACUCGGCGCACAUUCGAGAGGUCCAGGUUCGAGUCUUGGCCAGGGCA